RNAcentral lists this ribosomal RNA (200 nucleotides) under uncultured bacterium. Its description in RNAcentral is "partial 16S ribosomal RNA". It matches the Rfam family "Bacterial small subunit ribosomal RNA", at positions 524 to 724 of the family's 1533-position model. The record is from RNAcentral.
UACGUAGGGGGCGAGCGUUGUCCGGAGUUACUGGGCGUAAAGCGUGCGUAGACGGUCAUGUAAGUCGGAUGUGAAAGCCCCGGGCUCAACCUGGGAAUUGCAUUCGAGACUGCAAGGCUUGGGUGCGGAAGAGGGAAGCGGAAUUUCCGGUGUAGCGGUGAAAUGCGCGAUAUCAGGAAGAACACCAAUGGCGAAAGCAG